This 475-nucleotide ribosomal RNA is filed under the name uncultured bacterium. RNAcentral's name for it is "bacterial SSU rRNA". It matches the Rfam family "Bacterial small subunit ribosomal RNA", at positions 1 to 476 of the family's 1533-position model. The record is from RNAcentral.
CCCUUAGAGUUUGAUCCUGGCUCAGAUUGAACGCUGGCGGCAGGCCUAACACAUGCAAGUCGAGCGGUAGCACAGAGAGCUUGCUCUCGGGUGACGAGCGGCGGACGGGUGAGUAAUGUCUGGGAAACUGCCUGAUGGAGGGGGAUAACUACUGGAAACGGUAGCUAAUACCGCAUAAUGUCGCAAGACCAAAGUGGGGGACCUUCGGGCCUCAUGCCAUCAGAUGUGCCCAGAUGGGAUUAGCUAGUAGGUGGGGUAACGGCUCACCUAGGCGACGAUCCCUAGCUGGUCUGAGAGGAUGACCAGCCACACUGGAACUGAGACACGGUCCAGACUCCUACGGGAGGCAGCAGUGGGGAAUAUUGCACAAUGGGCGCAAGCCUGAUGCAGCCAUGCCGCGUGUGUGAAGAAGGCCUUCGGGUUGUAAAGCACUUUCAGCGGGGAGGAAGGCGAUAAGGUUAAUAACCUUGUCGAU